This 405-nucleotide ribosomal RNA is filed under the name uncultured bacterium. RNAcentral's name for it is "partial 16S ribosomal RNA". It matches the Rfam family "Bacterial small subunit ribosomal RNA", at positions 28 to 525 of the family's 1533-position model. The record is from RNAcentral.
GACGAACGCUAGCUACAGGCUUAACACAUGCAAGUCGAGGGACCGGCGCACGGUUGAUUAACACGUACCCAACCUGCCCUUUACUCGGGGAUAGCCUUUCGAAAGAAAGAUUAAUACCCGAUGUAAAGGAUGGGGAUGGGUUCCAUUAGGUUGUUGGUGAGGUAACGGCCCACCAAGCCGUCGAUGGAUAGGGGUUGUGAGAGGAAGGUCCCCCACAUUGGGACUGAGACACGGUCCAAACGCCUACGGGAGGCAGCAGUGAGGAAGAAUGGUCAAUGGGCGUUAGCCUGAACCAGCCAAGUAGCGUGGAGGAUGAAGGGUUAUGGGUCGUAAACUUCUUUGAUAUAAGAAUAUGAAUUAUAUGAAUAAGGAUCGGCUAACUCGGUGCCAGCAGCGGCGGUAAUC